AAUAUUGGACAAUGGGUGAAAGCCUGAUCCAGCCAUGCCGCUUGAGUGAUGAAGGCCCUAGGGUUGUAAAGCCCUUUCAGCGGGGAAGAUAAUGACGGUACCCCCAGAAGAAACCCCGGCUAACUUCGCGCCUGCAGCCGCGGUAAUAAGAAGGGGCCUAGCGUUGUUCGGAAUUACUGGGCGUAAAGGGCGCGUAGGCGGAUUUGCAAGUUAGGGGUGAAAUCCCGGGGCUCAACCCCGGAACUGCCUCUAAAACUGCUAAUCUAGAGUUCGGGAGAGGUGAGUGGAAUUCCGAGUGUAGAGGUGAAAUUCGUAGAUAUUCGGAGGAACACCAGUGGCGAAGGCGGCUCACUGGCCCGAAGCUGACGCUGGGGCGCGAAAGCGUGGGGAGCAAACAGG
RNAcentral lists this ribosomal RNA (399 nucleotides) under uncultured bacterium. Its description in RNAcentral is "partial 16S ribosomal RNA". It matches the Rfam family "Bacterial small subunit ribosomal RNA", at positions 360 to 776 of the family's 1533-position model. The record is from RNAcentral.